GUGUGCUUUGUUCUUUCAAGUAGUGUUACGCCGCUGGAGCUUACGAUGCGGCAUCUAGAUUUAUUAUUGAGACUUGUUCCUUCAUUCAUGCAGGUUUUUGGUACUUCUUCAUCAUGGCCACUGGACAUCUAUUCUCCCGCACCACGCAAGCUCUAUUCUAUAACUACAAGCAACUCCCAAUCCAGCGGAUGCUUGAUUUUGACUUCCUUUGUAGUGUGUAGGACAAGUCGGGCCACUGCAAUCUAUGUGUUUCUUUCCUUAAUAUGCUUGCUGGGAUCUUCUUUUCAAUGGAAGUCAUUAAUGUUACUCGAACUUUCCUGUUUUGUGUAGGGCGGGGGAAACACCAUCGGUUGCAGGUAUUAUCAACCCUGGUUCUGAGGGAUUUCAGAAACUCUCCUUUGGCCAGGAGGAAAUUGCUAUCCCAGUUCAUUCGACCACUGAAGCAGCAUGUGCGGUACAUCCUACUGCUGAUGGGUCCAUCAACUUUGCUUCAUUCAGAAGUGCUGCUGCUUCAUCACUGGCUGCUCUAAAACAGCAAACUAUAAGAGUUGUAGCCAUUAUUGCUGAAGGUGUUCCAGAGUAAGACACCAAACAGUUAAUUGCAUAUGCUCGUGCAAACAAUAAGGUGAGAAGAACGCUAGCUAU
Syzygium oleosum is the source of this 645-nucleotide long non-coding RNA. RefSeq lists it as uncharacterized. The transcript is spliced from 3 exons. NCBI's taxonomy places the organism in Eukaryota, Viridiplantae, Streptophyta, Magnoliopsida, Myrtales, Myrtaceae. The record is from RefSeq and is a predicted model, not a curated record.